Molecule: ribosomal RNA, 390 nt
Filed under: Enterobacter sp. FER60
Lineage: Bacteria; Pseudomonadati; Pseudomonadota; Gammaproteobacteria; Enterobacterales; Enterobacteriaceae
Description: bacterial SSU rRNA
Rfam family: Bacterial small subunit ribosomal RNA
Source: RNAcentral
GGCCUUACCUACUCUUGACAUCCAGAGAACUUUCCAGAGAUGGAUUGGUGCCUUCGGGAACUCUGAGACAGGUGCUGCAUGGCUGUCGUCAGCUCGUGUUGUGAAAUGUUGGGUUAAGUCCCGCAACGAGCGCAACCCUUAUCCUUUGUUGCCAGCGGUCCGGCCGGGAACUCAAAGGAGACUGCCAGUGAUAAACUGGAGGAAGGUGGGGAUGACGUCAAGUCAUCAUGGCCCUUACGAGUAGGGCUACACACGUGCUACAAUGGCGCAUACAAAGAGAAGCGACCUCGCGAGAGCAAGCGGACCUCAUAAAGUGCGUCGUAGUCCGGAUUGGAGUCUGCAACUCGACUCCAUGAAGUCGGAAUCGCUAGUAAUCGUAGAUCAGAAUUG